GGACCAUCAUGUCGGUCGUGCCUCGGUACGUACUGGUAUUGUUGGUUUCUCCCUUCUGACGAACCAUGAUGUCAUUUAUUUGGUGUCGCGGGGAACCAGGACCUUUACUUUGAAAAAAUUAGAGUGUUUAAAGCAGGCAUUUUGCUUGAAUACAUUAGCAUGGAAUAAUAAAAUAGGACGGCAUGAUUCUAUUUUGUUGGUUUCUAGGAUCACCGUA
RNAcentral lists this ribosomal RNA (217 nucleotides) under Campeiostachys nutans. RNAcentral describes it as "Elymus nutans partial small subunit ribosomal RNA". The stretch from base 37 to 217 matches the Rfam family "Eukaryotic small subunit ribosomal RNA", at positions 684 to 864 of the family's 1831-position model. The record is from RNAcentral. Lineage: Eukaryota; Viridiplantae; Streptophyta; Magnoliopsida; Poales; Poaceae.